RNAcentral lists this unclassified non-coding RNA (426 nucleotides) under uncultured Ascomycota. Its description in RNAcentral is "sequence contains ITS2". The stretch from base 1 to 154 matches the Rfam family "5.8S ribosomal RNA". Lineage: Eukaryota; Fungi; Ascomycota. The record is from RNAcentral.
AACUUUUAGCAAUGGAUCACUUGGUUCUCGCAUCGAUGAAGAACGCAGCGAAUUGCGAUAUGUAAUGUGAAUUGCAGAAUUCCGUGAAUCAUCGAAUCUUUGAACGCACAUUGCGCCUGCUGGUAUUCCGGUAGGCAUAUCUGUUUGAGCGUCAGCAACACCCUUCGGCAGGAUCCUUUUUGAUUCCGCCGGCUUUGGGCUGAGUAGCUCCCGAGCUUCCGGCUCGGUACUCUCGCCUUAAACCUGCUGUACGACCGCUGGCAACAUCUGGCAGGGUUUUAUGGAGUGGUAUUACAAAUCUUCCGUAACUGUCUAAGAUUCCGCUUGCGCGGCGUUAAACCCUAGGCUGCCUUCAGGUAGCUGAAGUUUGACCUCAAAUCAGAUAAGGAUACCCGCUGAACUUAAGCAUAUCAAUAAGCGGAGGCU